This 492-nucleotide ribosomal RNA is filed under the name uncultured bacterium. Its description in RNAcentral is "partial 16S ribosomal RNA". It matches the Rfam family "Bacterial small subunit ribosomal RNA", at positions 38 to 507 of the family's 1533-position model. The record is from RNAcentral.
GGGGGGCGGGGGCGGGGGGCCGGGCACAGGCGGGUCGGGCGGCAGCACAGUGAGAGCUUGCUCGUGCGGGUGGCGAGUGGCGGGCGGGUGGGGACGACAUCGGAAUCUACUUUUUCGUGGGGGCGACCGUAGGGGAACUUACGCCCAUACCGCAUACGACCUACGGGUGAAAGCCGGGGAUCUUCGGACCUUGCGCGAUUGAAUGAGCCGAUGUCGGAUUAGCUAGUUGGCGGGGUAAAGGCCCACCAAGGCGACGAUCCGUAGCUGGUCUGAGAGGAUGAUCAGCCACACUGGAACUGAGACACGGUCCAGACUCCUACGGGAGGCAGCAGUGGGGAAUAUUGGACAAUGGGCGCAAGCCUGAUCCAGCCAUACCGCGUGGGUGAAGAAGGCCUUCGGGUUGUAAAGCCCUUUUGUUGGGAAAGAAAAGCAGCAGGUUAAUACCCCGCUGUUCUGACGGUACCCAAAGAACAAGCACCGGCUAACUUCGUG